RNAcentral lists this ribosomal RNA (421 nucleotides) under uncultured microorganism. RNAcentral's name for it is "bacterial SSU rRNA". It matches the Rfam family "Bacterial small subunit ribosomal RNA", at positions 9 to 429 of the family's 1533-position model. The record is from RNAcentral.
GAGUUUGAUCGUGGCUCAGAUUGAACGCUGGCGGCAUGCCUUACACAUGCAAGUCGAACGGCAGCAUGAUCUAGCUUGCUAGAUUGAUGGCGAGUGGCGAACGGGUGAGUAAUACAUCGGAACGUGCCCUGUAGUGGGGGAUAACUAGUCGAAAGAUUAGCUAAUACCGCAUACGACCUGAGGGUGAAAGUGGGGGACCGCAGGGCCUCAUGCUAUAGGAGCGGCCGAUGUCUGAUUAGCUAGUUGGUGGGGUAAAGGCCCACCAAGGCGACGAUCAGUAGCUGGUCUGAGAGGACGAUCAGCCACACUGGGACUGAGACACGGCCCAGACUCCUACGGGAGGCAGCAGUGGGGAAUUUUGGACAAUGGGCGAAAGCCUGAUCCAGCAAUGCCGCGUGUGUGAAGAAGGCCUCGGUGUAAG